GAAUUUAAACCCCUUCCAGAGUAUCAAUUGGAGGGCAAGUCUGGUGCCAGCAGCCGCGGUAAUUCCAGCUCCAAUAGCGUAUAUUAAACUUGUUGCAGUUAAAAAGCUCGUAGUUGAAUUUCUGCUGCAUCGUGGUUCUUCGCCAUGUCGAGUGAUCUUCGUUGUGGCUUAGUUGGGGCAUGUUUUCAUGACUCGACGUUUACUUUGAGAAAAUUAGAGUGCUUCAAGCAGGCUUUUGCCUUGAAUACUUUAGCAUGGAAUAAUGGAGUAGGACUUUGGUUCUAUUUUGUUGGUUUUAGGAGCCGGAGUAAUGGUUAAUAGGAACAGUUGGGGGCAUUCGUAUUUGACUGUCAGAGGUGAAAUUCUUAGAUUUGUCAAAGACGAACUACUGCGAAAGCAUUUGCCAAGGAUGUUUCCAUUAAUCAAGAACGAAAGUUAGGGG
RNAcentral lists this ribosomal RNA (442 nucleotides) under Theileria equi. RNAcentral describes it as "SSU rRNA". It matches the Rfam family "Eukaryotic small subunit ribosomal RNA", at positions 521 to 996 of the family's 1831-position model. The record is from RNAcentral. Lineage: Eukaryota; Apicomplexa; Aconoidasida; Piroplasmida; Theileriidae.